This 207-nucleotide ribosomal RNA is filed under the name uncultured bacterium. Its description in RNAcentral is "partial 16S ribosomal RNA". It matches the Rfam family "Bacterial small subunit ribosomal RNA", at positions 568 to 774 of the family's 1533-position model. The record is from RNAcentral.
CACGUAGGCGGCUCGGUAAGUUGGAUGUGAAAGCCCCUGGCUCAACCAGGGAAUUGCAUUCAAUACUGCCGAGCUUGAGACCGGUAGGGGAGUGUGGAACUUCUAGUGUAGCGGUGAAAUGCGUAGAUAUUAGAAGGAACGCCGGUGGCGAAAGCGACACUCUGGACCGGUUCUGACGCUGAGGUGCGAAAGCUAGGGGAGCAAACA